RNAcentral lists this ribosomal RNA (493 nucleotides) under uncultured bacterium. RNAcentral's name for it is "partial 16S ribosomal RNA". It matches the Rfam family "Bacterial small subunit ribosomal RNA", at positions 30 to 523 of the family's 1533-position model. The record is from RNAcentral.
AUUGAACGCUGGCGGCAUGCCUUACACAUGCAAGUCGAACGGUAACAGGUUAAGCUGACGAGUGGCGAACGGGUGAGUAAUAUAUCGGAACGUGCCCCGUCGUGGGGGAUAACUGCUCGAAAGAGCAGCUAAUACCGCAUACGACCUGAGGGUGAAAGCGGGGGAUCGCAAGACCUCGCGCGAUUGGAGCGGCCGAUAUCAGAUUAGGUAGUUGGUGGGGUAAAGGCCCACCAAGCCAACGAUCUGUAGCUGGUCUGAGAGGACGACCAGCCACACUGGGACUGAGACACGGCCCAGACUCCUACGGGAGGCAGCAGUGGGGAAUUUUGGACAAUGGGCGCAAGCCUGAUCCAGCCAUGCCGCGUGCGGGAAGAAGGCCUUCGGGUUGUAAACCGCUUUUGUCAGGGAAGAAAAGGUUCUGGUUAAUACCUGGGACUCAUGACGGUACCUGAAGAAUAAGCACCGGCUAACUACGUGCCAGCAGCCGCAGUAA